UGGGGAAUUUUGGACAAUGGGGGAAACCCUGAUCCAGCCAUCCCGCGUGUGCGAUGAAGGCCUUCGGGUUGUAAAGCACUUUUGGCAGGAAAGAAACGUCGCGGGUUAAUACCCCGCGGAACUGACGGUACCUGCAGAAUAAGCACCGGCUAGCUACGUGCCAGCAGCCGCGGUAAUACGUAGGGUGCAAGCGUUAAUCGGAAUUACUGGGCGUAAAGCGUGCGCAGGCGGUUCGGAAAGAAAGAUGUGAAAUCCCAGAGCUUAACUUUGGAACUGCAUUUUUUAACUACCGGGCUAGAGUGUGUCAGAGGGAGGUGGAAUUCCGCGUGUAGCAGUGAAAUGCGUAGAUAUGCGGAGGAACACCGAUGGCGAAGGCAGCCUCCUGGGAUAACACUGACGCUCAUGCACGAAAGCGUGGGGAGCAAACAGGAUUAGAUACCCUGGUAGUCCACGCCCUAAACGAUGUCAACUAGCUGUUAGGGUCUUCGGACCUUGGUAGCGCAGCUAACGCGUGAAGUUGACCGCCUGGGGAGUACGGUCGCAAGAUU
Molecule: ribosomal RNA, 548 nt
Filed under: uncultured bacterium
Lineage: Bacteria
Description: partial 16S ribosomal RNA
Rfam family: Bacterial small subunit ribosomal RNA
Source: RNAcentral